RNAcentral lists this ribosomal RNA (740 nucleotides) under Comamonas sp. V131A1. RNAcentral describes it as "bacterial SSU rRNA". It matches the Rfam family "Bacterial small subunit ribosomal RNA", at positions 31 to 771 of the family's 1533-position model. The record is from RNAcentral. Lineage: Bacteria; Pseudomonadati; Pseudomonadota; Betaproteobacteria; Burkholderiales; Comamonadaceae.
AGACGCUGGCGGCAUCUUUCACAUGCAAGUCGAACGGCAGCACGGACUUCGGUCUGGUGGCGAGCUGGCGAACGGGUGAGUAAUACAUCGGAACGUGCCUGGUAGUGGGGGAUAACUACUCGAAAGAGUAGCUAAUACCGCAUGAGAUCUACGGAUGAAAGCAGGGGACCCUCGGGCCUUGUGCUACUAGAGCGGCUGAUGGCAGAUUAGGUAGUUGGUGAGAUAAUAGCUUACCAAGCCUGUGAUCUGUAGCUGGUCUGAGAGGACGACCAGCCACACUGGAACUGAGACACGGCCCAGACUCCUACGGGGAGGCAGCAGUGGGGAAAUUUGGACAAUGGGCGAAAGCCUGAUCCAGCAAUGCCGCGUGCGUGAUGAAGGCCCUCGGGUUGUAAACUGCUUUUUGUCGGAACGAAAAGCCUGUAGCUAAUAUCCUCGGGUCAUGACGGUACCGUCAGAAUAAGCACCGCUAACUUACGUGCCAGCAGCCCGGUAAUACGUAGGGGUGCAAGCGUUUAUCGGAAUUUCUGGGGCGUAAAAGCGUGCGCAAGCGGUUUUUGUAAGACAGUUGUGAAAACCCCCGGGCUCACCCUGGGAACUCCAUUGUGACUGCAAGCUAGAUGCGGCAGAGGGGGAUGAAUUUCCCCGUGUACAAUGAAAUGCGUAGAUUUGCGAGGGACACCAUGGCGAAAGCAACCCCCUGGACUGCACUGACGCUCAGCACGAAGCGUGGGGACAAC